GCUUCUCCCGUUGGGGGGAAAAAACGGGAGAAG
This 33-nucleotide transfer RNA is filed under the name Cnemaspis siamensis. RNAcentral describes it as "tRNA-Cys". Lineage: Eukaryota; Metazoa; Chordata; Lepidosauria; Squamata; Gekkonidae. The record is from RNAcentral.